Molecule: transfer RNA, 65 nt
Filed under: Puccinia sorghi
Lineage: Eukaryota; Fungi; Basidiomycota; Pucciniomycetes; Pucciniales; Pucciniaceae
Rfam family: tRNA
About the family: Transfer RNA (tRNA) molecules are approximately 80 nucleotides in length. Their secondary structure includes four short double-helical elements and three loops (D, anti-codon, and T loops).
Source: Rfam by way of RNAcentral
UCCUUAGUACAGUGGUUAGUACACUUGACAUGGAAAUAAGAUACAUGGGUUCAAUUCCCACAGGA